This 467-nucleotide ribosomal RNA is filed under the name uncultured bacterium. RNAcentral describes it as "partial 16S ribosomal RNA". It matches the Rfam family "Bacterial small subunit ribosomal RNA", at positions 28 to 507 of the family's 1533-position model. The record is from RNAcentral.
GACGAACGCUGGCGGCGUGCUUAACACAUGCAAGUCGAACGGAAAGGCCUCUUUCGGGGGGUACUCGAGUGGCGAACGGGUGAGUAACACGUGAGUAACCUGCCCUUGACUUUGGGAUAACUUCAGGAAACUGGGGCUAAUACCGGAUAGGAGCUCCUGCUGCAUGGUGGGGGUUGGAAAGUUUCGGCGGUUGGGGAUGGACUCGCGGCUUAUCAGCUUGUUGGUGGGGUAGUGGCUUACCAAGGCUUUGACGGGUAGCCGGCCUGAGAGGGUGACCGGCCACAUUGGGACUGAGAUACGGCCCGGACUCCUACGGGAGGCGGCGGUGGGGAAUAUUGAACAAUGGGUGGAGGCCUGAUGCAGCAACGCCGUGUGCGGGAUGACGGCCUUCGGGUUGUAAACCGCUUUCGCUCAUGACGAAGCUUUGUGUGACGGUAGUGGGUAAAGAAGCACCGGCUAACUACGUG